This 372-nucleotide ribosomal RNA is filed under the name uncultured organism. RNAcentral describes it as "bacterial SSU rRNA". It matches the Rfam family "Bacterial small subunit ribosomal RNA", at positions 526 to 896 of the family's 1533-position model. The record is from RNAcentral.
CGUAGGUGGCAAGCGUUGUCCGGAAUUAUUGGGCGUAAAGCGCGCGCAGGCGGUUCCUUAAGUCUGAUGUGAAAGCCCCCGGCUCAACCGGGGAAGGUCAUUGGAAACUGGGGAACUUGAGUGCAGAAGAGAAGAGCGGAAUUCCACGUGUAGCGGUGAAAUGCGUAGAGAUGUGGAGGAACACCAGUGGCGAAGGCGGCUCUUUGGUCUGUAACUGACGCUGAGGCGCGAAAGCGUGGGGAGCAAACAGGAUUAGAUACCCUGGUAGUCCACGCCGUAAACGAUGUGUGCUAAGUGUUAGAGGGUUUCCGCCCUUUAGUGCUGCAGCUAACGCAUUAAGCACUCCGCCUGGGGAGUACGGCCGCAAGGCUG